GGCCCAAAUAUAAAGUAGAGUAGAUUAGUAAGAUCGGUUGACUAUGCUAAACUACCCUCAUUCAAGUUUGUGCCC
This 75-nucleotide microRNA precursor is filed under the name Haemonchus placei. Its description in RNAcentral is "mir-5928 microRNA precursor family". It matches the Rfam family "mir-5928 microRNA precursor family". The record is from Rfam by way of RNAcentral. Lineage: Eukaryota; Metazoa; Nematoda; Chromadorea; Rhabditida; Trichostrongylidae.